This 28-nucleotide small RNA is filed under the name Bombyx mori (domestic silkworm). Its description in RNAcentral is "ovarian small RNA-7535". The record is from RNAcentral. Lineage: Eukaryota; Metazoa; Arthropoda; Insecta; Lepidoptera; Bombycidae.
UCGAUGUCUCCAUAGCCGUACCGGCUGC